CCAUCGCCUUUGCCACCCUCGAACGGGCAAAAGAAAGAAAGAGGCAGGCAUUCCUCAGGCCUUAUCUCUCUGGUUCUUUCUGCUACAUUUGACACCUUGGGAUGACUCUCACCUUCUGGAAUCUCUCUACUACCUUGGUUUCAGAAGAGUGAACCCUCUGGAUUAUCACAUGAAGCUACUUCCUGUGAGCAGCCCAGGGAUGGCCAGUCACUUGUGACCUACUUUCAGAGCUGGCAGUUCUGACUUCUAGAACAAACUCGGAACAAGCCCAUCUACAGCUGGUUGACUGAGUUUCCUUUGGGCUCCUGGCACCAGAAAGAAUUGCUCACUGGAAGGAUCAUAGGUGGCACUCAUGUCUCACUGCCCCACUCAGGCGGAGUGCGGUGACUCUCGCCUAUAAUCCCAGAAUUUUGAGAGGCCAAGGUGGGCAGCUCACUUGAGCUCAGAUGUUCGAGACCAGCCUGGGCAACAUGGCAAAACCCCAUCUCUACAAAAAAUACAAAAAUUAGCCAGGCAUGGUGGUGUGCACCUGUAGUCCCAGAUACCUGGAGGCUGAGGUGGAAGGAUCACUUGAGCCUGGGAGGCAGAGGUUGCAGUGAGCCAAGAUCACAUCACUGCACUCCAGCCUGAGUGACAGUGAGACUCUGUCUCAAAAAAGGAAAAAAGAAAAGAAAUUAAAAUUAAAUAAAUUUUAAAAAUCUUUUUUUCUUUCUUUCUUUCUUUUUCUUUUUUUCAAAGAAGUCUCCUAAGAGCCAGGCUAUUAGCACUAUCCUCCCUUUCAAGUGCUAUACAGUGAUCAGGUGAAACUGGAGAACAUCUGAGUUGGGAGAGAAUUCUAAGAUCUCAAGUGUAAAAGCUUAAUUUCACUGACUAAAAACUGAAGUCCAGAAAAGGAAAGAGGUUUUUGGCAAGGGGACACAGCCAACUGGUGGCAGAGCUGGCAAUAGAACCCAGGAUCCUUUUGACAACCCCCACCCCACAUACACACAUCCUCCCAAAGUGUGAUCUUGCUCCAAAAAGCUAGCUUCUCUCCGAGUUUUCGCGUUUCUAUCAGAAGCCCCCUCAUCCUUUUCUUUUUCUCCCCCCUUUAUGGCUAUCUAUCUUCUACAGGAAGGACAGAAGCCCUUUUCUUCUCAGUGAAUAAGAUUGGGAAUCUUGGCCGCGCGCAGUGGUUCACACCUGUAAUCCCAGCACUUUGGGAGGCCGAGGUGGGCAGAUCCCCUGAGGUCAGGAGUUCGAGACCAGCCUGGCCAACAUG
This 1258-nucleotide long non-coding RNA is filed under the name Homo sapiens (human). RNAcentral's name for it is "HSALNT0317314". The record is from RNAcentral. Lineage: Eukaryota; Metazoa; Chordata; Mammalia; Primates; Hominidae.